Molecule: long non-coding RNA, 656 nt
Filed under: Panax ginseng (ginseng)
Lineage: Eukaryota; Viridiplantae; Streptophyta; Magnoliopsida; Apiales; Araliaceae
Description: long non-coding RNA (PGIN_LNC012854)
Source: RNAcentral
AUCAUUCAUUAUCUUUACAAUUAACCAUCUAAAGCUACCACAGUUCUUCAAUCAAAGUAUAUAUCUACAUAUAUAGAGAGAGUACACUUCAUAAUUUCGUCCUUUGUCUUCUGUAAACGUAGCAAUAAAAUUUGAUACCCAGUAUUGUAAGGCAGGUCGUAGAAGCAGUCUUCCUACACAUUUAAAAAUAAUAGCAAGUCAAAAAAAUGAAACAAAUAGGUCACCAAAGACACUUAGUGCCAAAAUCAAUACACAAAGACAAUAGAGUUGCUACGUAGUACAAUGUCAAGGCUUGACUCCUAUUUCAUAAUACUUUAGAAUACAAAACAUUUCAACUUUCUUUUUUUAAUUUGAUGAUUGUGGAACCCACAGCCACUACCCCGUAGGGUGUGGAGUCUGUAGACUAGAUAAACAACCGGCCAAUCUAAUCAUAGCCUACUACCUCAAGAGAAUUGUGCAUUUUCUCAUUUCCAACAUGUAAAAGAAUCAAGAACAAGAAAAAAGGAUAGAGCUUUUUCUAACCAGGCCUAUUUCUCUUGUGAGUAGCUUUGCCAUCUGACCUCAAAGCACCACUUGACUCUCCUUCAGAUGAAGCUUCCAUGGAUUUGCCAAAAUUACUAGAAAGAUCAGAAUAAACAUCAACCACCCUCCUUAUG